UGCACGUCUCUUUAUUUUCCUCACAUGAAAACCCUAUCUCUUUUGCACCUCUUAUUCUUUUUCUCACGCGAAAACCAUAUCUUUGUUAAAGAAAUUUAAAUGAGUCGCCAUCGCUUCCAAGAUUUCCCAAAACACUAUUGCUGGUGCAUUUCACUGUCUCAAGUUUGUUCAAUUUCUUUUUGGAUGAAGGAAGAAUUGUUAGGAAUCAUAGUGUCUUCAGAUUUGGAGGACGGUGCUACUUCUUUCACAUCAAUAUAAGUGCUUAAGAAUAAGGUCCUAAUGGAGUGAUAUGAGGAACCAUAGCGUAAUCUUUAGGGUCGAAGAUGGAAAAUCUGGACGUGUCCAGAAUACCUAGGUUCGGUAAACAAGGGUCAUAUACAAUGCCCCUACCAUGGUUAGUAUUCAUUGGAAUGAAUAACUUCUUUCUUCUUCAGUAGCAUGAUUAUUAUAUGAUAGUAAUGAGUUACACGACAGGACAAACAAUUUUUUUUUGAGAUAGACUCUAAAAAUUAUGUCAUUGUUGGAUAUCA
Long non-coding RNA from Lathyrus oleraceus (garden pea), 530 nucleotides. RefSeq lists it as uncharacterized. The transcript is spliced from 2 exons. The record is from RefSeq and is a predicted model, not a curated record. NCBI's taxonomy places the organism in Eukaryota, Viridiplantae, Streptophyta, Magnoliopsida, Fabales, Fabaceae.